RNAcentral lists this ribosomal RNA (406 nucleotides) under uncultured bacterium. RNAcentral's name for it is "partial 16S ribosomal RNA". It matches the Rfam family "Bacterial small subunit ribosomal RNA", at positions 30 to 526 of the family's 1533-position model. The record is from RNAcentral.
AUUGAACGCUGGCGGCAGGCUUAACACAUGCAAGUCGAGCGAGCGGCGGACGGGUGAGUAAUGUCUGGGAAACUGACUGAUGGAGGGGGAUAACUACUGGAAACGGUAGCUAAUACCGCAUACCAUCAGAUGUGCCCAGAUGGGAUUAGCUAGUAGGUGGGGUAAUGGCUCACCUAGGCGACGAUCCCUAGCUGGUCUGAGAGGAUGACCAGCCACACUGGAACUGAGCCACGGCCCAGACUCCUACGGGAGGCAGCAGUGGGGAAGAUUGGACAAUGGGCGCAAGCCUGAUGCAGCCAUGCCGCGGGUGUGAAGAAGGCCUUAGGGUUGUAAAGUACUUUCAGCGAGGAGGCGUUACUCGCAGAAGAAGCACCGGCUAACUCCGUGCCAGCAGGCGCGGUAAUUC